This 946-nucleotide ribosomal RNA is filed under the name Bacillus aerius. RNAcentral's name for it is "bacterial SSU rRNA". It matches the Rfam family "Bacterial small subunit ribosomal RNA", at positions 1 to 887 of the family's 1533-position model. The record is from RNAcentral. Lineage: Bacteria; Bacillati; Bacillota; Bacilli; Caryophanales; Bacillaceae.
CUUUUUUUUCCCCCUUUUUUCCCCCCCCUUUUAUUUUUUAUUUUUCCCACACUGUCAGGACGAACCGCGGGCGGGCGUGCCUUAAUUCCAUGCAAGUUCGAGCGGACCGGACGGGGAGCUUGUUCCCUUUAGUUCAGCGGCGGACGGGGUGAGUAACACGUGGGUACCUUCCCUGUAAGACUGGGAUAAUUCCGGGAACCCGGGGUUAAUACCGGAUGCUUGAUUGAACCCCAUGGUUCAAUCAUAAAAGGUGGCUUUUAGCUACCACUUACAGAUGGACCCGCGGCGCAUUAGCUAGUUGGUGAGGUAACGGCUCACCAAGGCGACGAUGCGUAGCCGACCUGAGAGGGUGAUCGGCCACACUGGGACUGAGACACGGCCCAGACUCCUACGGGAGGCAGCAGUAGGGAAUCUUCCGCAAUGGACGAAAGUCUGACGGAGCAACGCCGCGUGAGUGAUGAAGGUUUUCGGAUCGUAAAACUCUGUUGUUAGGGAAGAACAAGUACCGUUCGAAUAGGGCGGCACCUUGACGGUACCUAACCAGAAAGCCACGGCUAACUACGUGCCAGCAGCCGCGGUAAUACGUAGGUGGCAAGCGUUGUCCGGAAUUAUUGGGCGUAAAGCGCGCGCAGGCGGUUUCUUAAGUCUGAUGUGAAAGCCCCCGGCUCAACCGGGGAGGGUCAUUGGAAACUGGGGAACUUGAGUGCAGAAGAGGAGAGUGGAAUUCCACGUGUAGCGGUGAAAUGCGUAGAGAUGUGGAGGAACACCAGUGGCGAAGGCGACUCUCUGGUCUGUAACUGACGCUGAGGCGCGAAAGCGUGGGGAGCGAACAGGAUUAGAUACCCUGGUAGUCCACGCCGUAAACGAUGAGUGCUAAGUGUUAGAGGGUUUCCGCCCUUUAGUGCUGCAGCAAACGCAUAAGCACUCCGCCUGGAGACUGCCGGUC